Molecule: ribosomal RNA, 358 nt
Filed under: Hypocreales sp. WS1
Lineage: Eukaryota; Fungi; Ascomycota; Sordariomycetes; Hypocreales
Description: eukaryotic LSU rRNA
Rfam family: Eukaryotic large subunit ribosomal RNA
Source: RNAcentral
UGACCUCGAAUCAGGUAGGACUACCCGCUGAACUUAAGCAUAUCAAUAAGCGGAGGAAAAGAAACCAACAGGGAUUGCCCCAGUAACGGCGAGUGAAGCGGCAACAGCUCAAAUUUGAAAUCUGGCUCCUAGAGUCCGAAUUGUAAUUUGCAGAGGAUGCUUUUGAUGCGGUGCCUUCCGAGUUCCCUGGAACGGGACGCCAUAGAGGGUGAGAGCCCCGUCUGGUCGGAUGCCAAAUCUCUGUAAAGCUCCUUCGACGAGUCGAGUAGUUUGGGAAUGCUGCUCUAAAUGGGAGGUAUAUGUCUUCUAAAGCUAAAUAUUGGCCAGAGACCGAUAGCGCACAAGUAGAGUGAUCGAA